CCAAUAGCGUAUAUUAAAGUUGUUGCAGUUAAAAAGCUCGUAGUUGAAUUUCGGAAUCAGUACGUUGGUCGUGCCUUCGGUAUGCACUGGCGUCACUGGUUUCUCCUUUCUGAAGAACCGUGAUGUCAUUAAUUUGGUGUUGCGGGGAAUCAGGACUGUUACUUUGAAAAAAUUAGAGUGUUUAAAGCAGGCUCACGCUUGAAUACAUUAGCAUGGAAUAAUGAAAUAGGACGUUUGAUUCUAUUUUGUUGGUUUCUAGGAUCGACGUAAUGAUUAAUAGGGAUAGUUGGGGGCAUUAGUAUUCAAUUGUCAGAGGUGAAAUUCUUGGAUUUAUUGAAGACUAACUACUGCGAAAGCAUUUGCCAAGGAUGUUUUCAUUAAUCAAGAACGAAAGUCAGGGGAUCGAAGACGAUCAGAUACCGUCGUAGUCUUAACCAUAAACUAUGCCGACUAGGGAUCGGAUGAUGUUAAUUUUAUAAUGACUCAUUCGGCGCCUUGCG
This 500-nucleotide ribosomal RNA is filed under the name uncultured Glomeromycotina. Its description in RNAcentral is "partial small subunit ribosomal RNA". It matches the Rfam family "Eukaryotic small subunit ribosomal RNA", at positions 591 to 1092 of the family's 1831-position model. The record is from RNAcentral. Lineage: Eukaryota; Fungi; Glomeromycota.